GCCGCCGCGGGGCGGGAGGCGGCCAUGUCGCUAUUGUCUGCGCUGGUGCCCUUGCUCCGGGUGUACUGCAUCGGCCUCCGCGUCAUCCUGCACCAGCUGCGCCGCCGCUUCCAGCCGCGCUGCGCCCCGGCCUCAGGUACUCAUUAAUGAGUGAAGGAUCAAAAGGUGGGACGGUGGCCAAGAAGCAAUGGAGAAUAAAAGUUUAGAAGGUUCCCCAUCUGACCUAAAGUUAGUGGCUCACCCGAGAGCAAAGAGUAAAGUGUGGAAGUACUUUGGGUUUGAUACCAAUGCGGAAGGAUGCAUAUUACAGUGGAAGAAGAUCUACUGCCGUAUUUGCAUGGCACAGAUUGCCUAUUCAGGAAACACGUCCAACCUUUCCUACCACCUUGAGAAAAAUCACCCCGAUGAAUUCUGUGAGUUUGUGAAAAGUAACACUGAGCAAAUGAGGGAAGCCUUUGCCACAGCAUUUUCAAAAAUCAAGCCUGAGUCAUCACAGCAGGUUGUUCAAGAUAGCCUCAUUAUGAAGACCUACCAGAACUAUGAAAACAAAAAACAUCAGGAACUAACAUCUGCAGUCAUCAGCUUAAUUUGCGAGGGCAUGUAUCCAGCCUCCAUCGUUGAUGAACCUACCUUCAAGGCCCUCUUGAGAACAGCGGACCCCAGGUAUGAACUUCCGAGCCGGAAGUACUUCUGUACAAAAGCGAUUCCUGAAAAGUACAGUGCUAUUAGAGAAAUUGUGCUGAAAGAACUGACUGAGGUUCUGUGGUGUGGCAUAUCCACAGACAUGUGGAGGAGUGAAAACCAGAACAGGUCGUAUGUAACCGUGGCGGUUCACUUUCUCAGCAGCAGUCCUGCCAACUGCCUGGCUGUGAACUCGCGGUGUUUGAAAACUUUUGAAGUACCAGAGGAUAACACUGCAGAGACCAUUACACGAGUCCUUUAUGAAACAUUUAUUGAGUGGGGGAUCAAUACAAAAGUGUUUGGUGCUACAACAGAUUACAGUAAAGACAUAGUAAAAGCUUGCUCUCUCCUAGAUAUUCCCGUACAGAUGCCUUGUUUGGGCCACACUUUCAAUGCAGGAAUACAACAAGCUUUUCAGCUCCCCAAACUCUGCAACCUUCUUGCCAGGUGCCGAAAGCUGGUGGAGUAUUUUCAGCAGUCUACUGUCGCAAUGUACAUGCUGAGCGAAAAGCAGAAGCAACAGAAUAUUCUCCACUGCAUGCUGGUAAGUGACCGUGUUUCCUGGUGGGGAAGCACGCUCGCUAUGCUGCAGCGCCUCAAGGAGCAGCAGUUUGUCAUUGCGGCUGUUCUCGUGGAGGACAGCAACAACCACCACCUCAUGCUGGAAUCCAGUGAGUGGAAUACAAUCGAAGGGCUGGUGGAGCUGCUCCAGCCUUUCAAGCAGGUUGCAGAGAUGAUGUCUGCUUCCAAGUACCCGACGAUAAGCAUGGUGAAACCACUUCUCCAUAUGCUUCUGAAUACAACUCUGAACAUCAAAGAGAACGAUUUGAAAGAAAUCAGCAUGGCAAAGGAGGUGAUUGCUAAAGAGUUGUCAACCACCUACCAGCACACACCUGAGAUAGACAUGUUUCUCAAUGUUGCAACUUUCUUGGAUCCCCGCUACAAGAAACUGCCUUUUCUUUCAGCCUUUGAGAGGCAGCAGGUGGAAAACAGAGUGGUGGAAGAAGCAAAAAGCCUGCUGGAGAAAGUAAAAGAAAAUAGCUUUAGAACUGAGGAGAAAUUCUUCACUGUUUCAGAAGAGCCCCCUAUGAAAAAAAUCAUCAUCUCCUCUACUCCUCCUCCUACUAGUGUCAUCAACAACAUGCUCGCAGAGAUCUUUUGCCAGACAGGAGGCGUGGAAGACCAGGAGGAAUGGCAUGCUCAAAUCGUUGAGGAGUUGAGCAACUUCAAGUCACAAAAGGUCCUUGGUUUGAAUGAAGACCCGUUGAAGUGGUGGUCUGACAGACUAGCACUGUUUCCAGUUUUACCAAAGGUUCUUCAAAAAUACUGGUGUAUUCUGGCCACGAGGGUCUUCCCUGAACGCCUUUUUGGUUCUUCUGCUAAUGUUGUGAGUGCAAAGAGAAACCGGUUAGCCCCAGCUCAUGUGGAUGAGCAGAUCUUUUUGUAUGAGAACAGUCGCAAUGGGUCUGAGGCAGAACCGGAGGAUGAAGAUGAAGGAGAGUGGGGUUUGGAACAGGAACAGAUUUUUAAUUUAAAUGACUCCGUAAACAUAAACAAUAAUUUCUUUAAUAUUCGAGACAGUGGGUUUGUUUAACAGGACUGCUGCGGUACAUUUAAUGACAAAGAAAAGAGGUAUUUGUCUUAAGUUACCAAAAAUUCUUCUGUUUUAUGCUAUGAAUGCUGUAAAUAUUGAACAGUUGUAACAAACUUGAUUUAGCUUCCAUUGUCUGUGUUUUUCCCACUGUCUUAAAACAUGAAUGACUUGUGAUCAAACAGCACUGAAAUUAAUGAGGAAAUAAAUUCUUCAAAGACCGUGGUUUCUGACUGUGGCCCAGAUUUCAGAAAGCACUUAUCCAUGUGCUUCCUUUCCACUUGUUUCAUUAGGAGACAAACACAUGCUUAUGUGCUUUCUAUCAUAAAAUUACUUUCCUGAGUUAGGACCUUGAGGAAGUUUUUAAAGUUUAUGCCUCCAUUUGUAAAUCCUGUGUGACUCAGGAUGAUAGCUUUAAAUUUUGGAUUUUAAAAUGUUUUUUAAAAUCCACAGAUCUGAGCAGUGAAUAUUUUUAGAAUAUAUUGUUGGUAUGGAAUGAAAAAAAUCUUGAGCCUGAUUUUCACUACCUCAUGUCUUAGGUCUGGUCUAUGCUAGAAAAGUUCAGCCGGUAUAAUUCUGUUGGUUAGGAGACUGAUGUGUUAUUAUUUUAACUGAUACUGUGCUGGCAUAGGCUGUAGUGUGGAUGCAUUUAUACCAGGAUAAUUUAUUUUCCUUUCCAGUGCAGUGUAAAUGGUAUAAACACUUAAACUGGUAUUACUGUGUCCACAUUAGUCCAGUUUUACCAUUUAACUGCAGCUAAAUGGCAAAAUUGGUUUCUUGUUUGUUUUGCUUUGUGUCUAAGCAAGUCCUGAUUGUAGUCUCUUGUGCUUUUGCAAAGUGGGAACCAAGUGUGGGGUUGAGACAGUGUUGUGUUACCUUGACCUUGUGCUGAUGCCGUGUGGUGUGUAGCAGUCAAGGCAUCAGCACUUUGGUUAAGGAGGGAGGGAUAGAGGGAAGGAGAGGGCAGGGAGACGUCUACAGGCCACGGGUCUAACGGUUUGUCUGUGUUAUAAAAUCCUUAACCUCUUCAUUUAGUGGGGUCUUUGCCCAGGGUAGCUAGAAUAUUUUGUUGGCAAGAAAAGGAAAAUAAAAAGCUUUAAUAUUAUGUAAAUAUAUUUAAAAGAAGGGGACCCCUCCAUUUUCUCUAAUGUAUUUAGUGAAUCUUUAAAAUUGUUUUUUGUUAUGUUAGCACUUAAUAACUUUUUUCACCUGUCUCUUUUUGAUUCAGUUUGUAGAGUGGACUUCAGUCCUUUCCAGUCUAACGUUUGAGUACUGUUUCCGAUUAGUUGUGUAUUGUAACUACUCCCUUUGUGUCUCCAAGCAUAAGUUUUUUAAGCCCUUUUGAGAACUUGACAAACAAGGAAAAAGAAAGGAAACCAACCUGAGACACCCCCCCCACCCCACAUCUCUUGUGAAAUACUGCAGUCAAACAUGAUCAGAGUUCACGCUAGGCACAAAGUUGGAUGCACCACAUUUUUUUUUCUGAGAUGCUGUGGAGGACUCUUGGCAUUUUCCAGUUACAGUCAAGGUUUGCUUGGGGUUUUAUUUCUGUUACUGGUGUCUCACCCCCCCACCUCUGUGUUAAGUCUACAACUAUGUUGAGCAAUAUCUGUCUGUUACUCUUCUGGAGGAAGAAAGUUGGGGUUUUUUCACACUGUGGCACCCAGGGACAUUGGGUUGUAAAAAGGGCACAGACAGCAGGAACGUACAGAAAUGAGAAUGGCAAUGGAAUUGAAUCUAUUGCCAAACUGUUUGUUUAUGGUUUGGUUUAAUCGUUUUUGAAGUUUGAGGCUUCUGUGUUCUUUGUAGGUGGUGGGAAGUGAUGGGUGAGUGAGGAAGAAGAACAGAGGUUAGGCUGAAGGAACAGUGAAUACAGCAGAGACAUCUUUUUGGAGGGGCAAUAGAAGAACAAACUUCAGCUUUUGAGUACUUUUAUGCUAAAAAAGUGAAUUUUUAAACAGGCUGUCAAAGUAUGUACUCUGUGUCAAAAGAAGAAUUGCCUUUAUCACCAACUAGCUGUUGCCAAAUCAGGAUUAAAACUCAGUGGGCUAGGUGAGGUUACUUGGAGUGACAAUAUAACUAAAGGGAGUUUUGUGUUCCUGACCAACCUCCCUCUGCCAUCAGGGAUUAUGUGAAGACAAAGAGAAAAGCCUGAACCAUGCUGAAGGUGAAAAGGUGAAUUUUUCCAGCAAACAAUGUCUGAAGUGCUUUCAUUUAAAGGAGGGCAAUAAAGUUCUGUAUUAUUUAUGGAAAGGGUGUAUUGUUUUAAGUUUCUAAUGUAGCAGUCUAUUAGAUUAAUUUCAAGCAUUUUCUUUUACCGAUGUCAUGGUGUCCAAUUAGAUUUAUAGGCAUAUUUGUAAGCAGGCAGGAAUAUUAAAAGCAAAAGAAACACAAAUUGGUUGUUUGUAAUAUUUUAUAGGAUUUCUGAAAACUUAAAAGUGACAUGUGGUUCUUGAUUUUUAUCCUUUUCACAUGACAGCUUAAAAAGAAGGGGCCGCCUGAGGACAUCAUUUCUGAAGGAGGGGAAGUGCAUGGGUAUGAACACAGAAGUAGUGUAUUUUACAUAUUCCAUGACAACUGGGGAAAGGAAACUUUAUGCUAGAAAAAUUACAUUUUAGUCUCUGUACACUGUCUUCCACUUUUGGUAGUCUCCAUUUGUGAAGAUCUGGUGAUCCUGGUUCUGGUGGCGUUAUCUAGUCUAGACUGCCUUUUUAGCUCUGCUGAAAGGAUUCUCGAGGUCUGUCAAGUUUUAUGGUUUGUUUUUUUUUUCCCUUUGGACCAUACUAAAUGGUUUGUCUUGCCUUAUCUCCUACAAAUUAAUGUUCUGCUAAAUUCAAAACAUUUUUAUGAGACAUAGGGAAAUUAUGGAAAUUGGUUUUGCUUUUUUAGUAACAUUUGGUGCUGAAGAGAGCAUUUAAAGAUACAGCUUCAUUUUAUGUCUGCCUUAAGAGCACAUCAGUAAAGCAUGUCUUAAUGAUACUAUUUAAACUGUAAUUUCAAAACAUCUCUGCAGCUGCAAUUUGU
RNA transcript from Poecile atricapillus (Black-capped chickadee), 5296 nucleotides. It is a transcript of the gene named zinc finger BED-type containing 1, with no coding region annotated. The transcript has 3 exons. Lineage: Eukaryota; Metazoa; Chordata; Aves; Passeriformes; Paridae. The record is from RefSeq and is a predicted model, not a curated record.